RNAcentral lists this ribosomal RNA (600 nucleotides) under uncultured bacterium. RNAcentral describes it as "bacterial SSU rRNA". It matches the Rfam family "Bacterial small subunit ribosomal RNA", at positions 103 to 703 of the family's 1533-position model. The record is from RNAcentral.
CGGGUGCGGAACACGUGUGCACUGCUUUAUCUGGGGGAUAGCCUUUCGAAAGGAAGAUUAAUACCCCAUAAUAUGUUGAAUGGCAUCAUUCGACAUUGAAAACUCCGGUGGAUAGAGAUGGGCACGCGCAAGAUUAGAUAGUUGGUGAGGUAACGGCUCACCAAGUCUACGAUCUUUAGGGGGCCUGAGAGGGUGAUCCCCCACACUGGUACUGAGACACGGACCAGACUCCUACGGGAGGCAGCAGUGAGGAAUAUUGGACAAUGGGUGAGAGCCUGAUCCAGCCAUCCCGCGUGAAGGACGACUGCCCUAUGGGUUGUAAACUUCUUUUGUAUAGGGAUAAACCUACCCUCGUGAGGGUAGCUGAAGGUACUAUACGAAUAAGCACCGGCUAACUCCGUGCCAGCAGCCGCGGUAAUACGGAGGGUGCAAGCGUUAUCCGGAUUAAUGGGUUNAAAGGGUCCGUAGGCGGAUCUGUAAGUCAGGGGUGAAAUCUCACAGCUUAACUGUGGAAACUGCCAAUUGAAUACUGGCAGGGUCCUGGACGUUGGUCGCCGGAAGGUUACCCUCGGGAAUUCAACAGUCAGUGUACCCCCGGGG